UGAAACGUCGAGGAUUUAAUUAAAAAGCUCAUACGGUUGGCCACAUGUGCCUGAAAUAAUAUUGGGAGCUUGAGUCAAUAGUGUUUCAUUUCUGAUAGCGCAGAGGAAGUAUCUAGCUAUUGUACCGUCCAAUUCUUCUCCGAUAUCCGAUGAAUGGAGAAUAUCUGACCAGUAGUCAGUACAAAAAUUCCAUAAACAUUACAAAGUAUUUGGCCUUGUGUUCGACUAUUUAACAUUACUUUAUCCCCAUCUUGCGCUCUAUGAAACAACAUACCGUAACCACAUUGCGCAAGCGCGCGAACGAAUUGUCGAUGCGCGGGUAAUUUCUGUGUGUCAGUACUCAGUCUGGUUCUUGUAAGUGCGUGUGCAAAUUUUUGUUGCGGUCCGUAUUAAAGGCUGACAGAAAUAUCGACUGUGAGUUUAGUGAACCGAAUGUUACUUAAUUUGGGAACAGAAAAGAGUGCAUUUCCCAAUGACCACAACGAAUAUGAUCAACAGAAUUUGAAAUAUCAAACGAACAAAUAAAAACUGAUAUUUUCUUCAUCCAUAAAAGUUGCAUUUUGAACGUCUCCCACAAGAAUGCGAUGAGAUCUCGGUUCUCACCUUCAUUGUUACGCAUUAAUAAUUUCGCAACUGAUUAAACGGAACACCAGCCAACAAUGGAAACACCGUCUCUAUGCUAAUUAAACGCAAAUAUAUCACUUCUGUAAUUUAUCACGGUCUUCUGUUAUUCUGUCAAGGCUGCGACUAAACUUAGAAACAGGAAAAUGUUUCUCAGGUUUCUAGACAGUGCGUCAGGAACUUGAUUAGCAUAAAUUUAUAUUCAAGCUUUGUGAAUCAGCGGGUACAGGUGGUUCUAAAAGUUCAUUGUUAGACAUUCAUCAGCAGCCAACAAUUAAGGCUAU
Non-coding RNA from Zootermopsis nevadensis, 905 nucleotides. NCBI's taxonomy places the organism in Eukaryota, Metazoa, Arthropoda, Insecta, Blattodea, Termopsidae. The record is from RefSeq and is a predicted model, not a curated record.